This 70-nucleotide small nucleolar RNA is filed under the name Chlamydotis macqueenii (Macqueen's bustard). RNAcentral's name for it is "Chlamydotis undulata macqueenii Small nucleolar RNA SNORD45". It matches the Rfam family "Small nucleolar RNA SNORD45". Rfam says of the family: U45 belongs to the C/D class of snoRNA which contain the C (UGAUGA) and D (CUGA) box motifs. Most of the members of the box C/D family function in directing site-specific 2'-O-methylation of substrate RNAs. Lineage: Eukaryota; Metazoa; Chordata; Aves; Otidiformes; Otididae. The record is from Rfam by way of RNAcentral.
GGCCUGUGAUGGCUGUUGGCAUGUAUUGUCUGAGCGUGAAUCUGAAGCUCUAGAAUUACUCUGAGGCCCG